RNAcentral lists this ribosomal RNA (506 nucleotides) under uncultured bacterium. RNAcentral's name for it is "partial 16S ribosomal RNA". It matches the Rfam family "Bacterial small subunit ribosomal RNA", at positions 29 to 523 of the family's 1533-position model. The record is from RNAcentral.
AUUGAACGCUGGCGGCAGGCCUAACACAUGCAAGUCGGACGGUAGCACAGAGGAGCUUGCUCCUCGGGUGACGAGUGGCGGACGGGUGAGUAAUGUCUGGGGAUCUGCCAGAUAGAGGGGGAUAAACACUGGAAACGGUGGCUAAUACCGCAUAACGUCGCCAGACCAAAGAGGGGGACCUUCGGGCCUCUCACUAUCGGAUGAACCCAGAUGGGAUUAGCUAGUAGGCGGGGUAAUGGGCCACCUAGGCGACGAACCCUAGCUGGUCUGAGAGGAUGACCAGCCACACUGGAACUGAGACACGGUCCAGACUCCUACGGGAGGCAGCAGUGGGGAAUAUUGCACAAUGGGCGCAAGCCUGAUGCAGCCAUGCCGCGUGUAUGAAGAAGGCCUUCGGGUUGUAAAGUACUUUCAGCGGGGAGGAAGGCGAUAAGGUUAAUAACCUUGUCGAUUGACGUUACCCGCAGAAGAAGCACCGGCUAACUCCGUGCCAGCAGCCGCCGUAA